This 469-nucleotide ribosomal RNA is filed under the name uncultured bacterium. RNAcentral's name for it is "partial 16S ribosomal RNA". It matches the Rfam family "Bacterial small subunit ribosomal RNA", at positions 355 to 815 of the family's 1533-position model. The record is from RNAcentral.
UGGGGAAUAUUGCACAAUGGGCGCAAGCCUGAUGCAGCCAUGCCGCGUGUGUGAAGAAGGCCUUCGGGUUGUAAAGCACUUUCAGCGAGGAGGAAGGUGGUGAGCUUAAUACGCUCAUCAAUUGACGUUACUCGCAGAAGAAGCACCGGCUAACUCCGUGCCAGCAGCCGCGGUAAUACGGAGGGUGCAAGCGUUAAUCGGAAUUACUGGGCGUAAAGCGCACGCAGGCGGUUUGUUAAGUCAGAUGUGAAAUCCCCGGGCUCAACCUGGGAACUGCAUUUGAAACUGGCAAGCUAGAGUCUCGUAGAGGGGGGUAGAAUUCCAGGUGUAGCGGUGAAAUGCGUAGAGAUCUGGAGGAAUACCGGUGGCGAAGGCGGCCCCCUGGACGAAGACUGACGCUCAGGUGCGAAAGCGUGGGGCAGCAAACAGGAUUAGAUACCCUGGUAGUCCACGCUGUAAACGAUGUCGA